Molecule: non-coding RNA, 140 nt
Organism: Azotobacter vinelandii DJ
Lineage: Bacteria; Pseudomonadati; Pseudomonadota; Gammaproteobacteria; Pseudomonadales; Pseudomonadaceae
Source: Rfam
UUGACCAACAAAUGAGAAGCGUUAUUAUUUGAAAACUGAUCGCGAGAUCAGCGGUAAACUGACAGAGCGGCUACUCUUCAGGUUAUCUCCUCAUCAGGCUAAUUACGGUUUUCGACCCGGCUCCGCCGGGUCUUUUUUUG